This is a small nuclear RNA of Bubalus bubalis (water buffalo), 109 nucleotides long. NCBI's taxonomy places the organism in Eukaryota, Metazoa, Chordata, Mammalia, Artiodactyla, Bovidae. The record is from RefSeq and is a predicted model, not a curated record.
GUGCUUGGUCUGGCAACACUUGUAAUAAAAUUGGAACCGUAUACAAAGAAGAUUCACACUGCGCCUGCACAAGGAUGACACACAAAUCGGUGAGGCGGUCCAUGCCUCC